This is a long non-coding RNA of Alnus glutinosa, 880 nucleotides long. RefSeq lists it as uncharacterized. The transcript is spliced from 2 exons. Lineage: Eukaryota; Viridiplantae; Streptophyta; Magnoliopsida; Fagales; Betulaceae. The record is from RefSeq and is a predicted model, not a curated record.
CACCAACGCCACAGUAUCAGACUUUGUUGAAUUAACUUGAAUACCCAUAAAAUAAAACCACGUGUGGAGCCGACAGACGGCCAUUUGAAGACCCGGCGCUCUUCGUUUAGAAGAAAGCCACUGAAAAGCACUUUCUCUUCUUUCUAGAAAAGCCCCUGGACUUUUGCCAUCUAUAUAUAAAGCAACGCAAAACCCUAGUUUUCUCUACGCCAGUCGCCAGAACAGAGAGAGAGAGAGAGAGAGGGAGAGAGGAGCUGCUGUGGAAGUUGUGUUUGUUUUAUCUGCUUGGGGAAGUCAUUCCAAGCAAGAAGACAGCUUCUGCAGCAGCGAGGGGGAAGUUAAAUAAAUAAAAAAAUAAUAAGAUGGGUCGCUCUCCCUAUCUCUCUCUCCCGGUCUAAGCUAGCUUCUCGCUGCUUCCAUUGCAGAUGGUCUAUCCCUAUCCAUCCAUCCAUCAACAGGCGAGGUUCUGCAGUCGUAUCACAUGAGUGUGUGUCGGCAAGCUUUGGUACUCGGAGGGUCUGGGUGUGGGUGUGGGUGUGGAGAAGAGAAGGCUGCGAUUAGAGAAGAGUCUGGAGCCGCUUCGGCGUGGGGUCCGGGCUACUACAGGCCAAUCAAUCAUAGAGCCGUGAUUGUCGAUUCAUGCAGUGGAGCUUCGAGAAAUGGUGUGUUGAACCAUCCGGUGAGACCGCACUAGACAACUGAGGAAUGAGAGGAUCCUGUGCUGUCCUUUGGACUUAUUGUCGAACCCACGUUUCUUUUUAUCAUAUGCCUUUGAAUUUUCCCUUGGUCAUCAAUGCUCGAAGACCCACUACUAUGCUUCCUUUAUAUAUUAUUAUUAUAAUAAUAAGAAUAAUAAUAAUGGCGUCUCUGUCUUUUAUCA